GAUGUGGAAGCAUAGUGAUAUGUUAAGCUAACUUGUACUAAUUACCCGUGAGGCUUAACCAUACAACGCCAAACGCGUUU
This 80-nucleotide ribosomal RNA is filed under the name Pseudoalteromonas sp. SG44-1. Its description in RNAcentral is "partial 23S ribosomal RNA". The record is from RNAcentral. Lineage: Bacteria; Pseudomonadati; Pseudomonadota; Gammaproteobacteria; Alteromonadales; Pseudoalteromonadaceae.